AGGACGAACGCUGGCGGCGUGCUUAACACAUGCAAGUCGAGCGGAAAGGCCCUUCGGGGUACUCGAGCGGCGAACGGGUGAGUAACACGUGAGCAAUCUGCCCUUAGCUUCGGGAUAGCCCCGGGAAACCGGGAUUAAUACCGAAUACGACCUCGGCCGACAUCGGCUUUGGUGGAAAGUUUUUCGGCUAGGGAUGAACUCGCGGCCUAUCAGCUUGUUGGUGGGGUAAUGGCCUACCAAGGCGACGACGGGUAGCCGGCCUGAGAGGGCGACCGGCCACACUGGGACUGAGACACGGCCCAGACUCCUACGGGAGGCAGCAGUGGGGAAUAUUGCGCAAUGGGCGAAAGCCUGACGCAGCGACGCCGCGUGGGGGAUGAAGGCCUUCGGGUUGUAAACCCCUUUCAGCAGGGACGAAGCGAGAGUGACGGUACCUGCAGAAGAAGCGCGGCUAACUACGUGCCAGCAGCCGC
RNAcentral lists this ribosomal RNA (473 nucleotides) under uncultured bacterium. Its description in RNAcentral is "SSU rRNA". It matches the Rfam family "Bacterial small subunit ribosomal RNA", at positions 26 to 518 of the family's 1533-position model. The record is from RNAcentral.